Molecule: ribosomal RNA, 484 nt
Filed under: uncultured bacterium
Lineage: Bacteria
Description: partial 16S ribosomal RNA
Rfam family: Bacterial small subunit ribosomal RNA
Source: RNAcentral
AUUGAACGCUGGCGGCAGGCCUAACGCAUGCAAGUCGAGCGGAUGAAGGGAGCUUGCUCCUGGAUUCAGCGGCGGACGGGUGAGUAAUGCCUAGGAAUCUGCCUGGUAGUGGGGGAUAACGUCCGGAAACGGGCGCUAAUACCGCAUACGUCCUGAGGGAGAAAGUGGGGGAUCUUCGGACCUCACGCUAUCAGAUGAGCCUAGGUCGGAUUAGCUAGUUGGUGGGGUAAAGGCCUACCAAGGCGACGAUCCGUAACUGGUCUGAGAGGAUGAUCAGUCACACUGGAACUGAGACACGGUCCAGACUCCUAAGGGAGGCAGCAGUGGGGAAUAUUGGACAAUGGGCGAAAGCCUGAUCCAGCCAGGCCGCGUGUGUGAAGAAGGACUUCGGAUUGUAAAGCACUUUAAGUUGGGAGGAAGGGCAGUAAGUUAAUACCUUGCUGUUUUGACGGUACCAACAGAAUAAGCACCGGCUAACUUCGUG